RNAcentral lists this unclassified non-coding RNA (946 nucleotides) under Hevea brasiliensis (rubber tree). Lineage: Eukaryota; Viridiplantae; Streptophyta; Magnoliopsida; Malpighiales; Euphorbiaceae. The record is from RNAcentral.
UUUGUUUCCUGUUGAACCUCGUAUCUUUGGUAGUAUUUGUUUUGUGCGAGAUGUUCAUCCAUAGGUUACUAAAUUGAAUCUUAAGUAUCUUAGGUGUCUCUUCCUUGGAUAUUCUCGACUUCAAAAAGGUGUCAAGUCCUUAUUCAGGUCCUCAGAAUUCUCCUGCACCUGCACCGGCUCAACUCCUUCGCCCACCUGUUGUUCAUUUUUAUUCUAGGAGAUUGAAGACUCUUGACUCAGAUUCUCCACCAGCUUCUUCUUUAGAAGAUCCAGUUCCAUCCACUGCUUCUCAGUCUGACUUAGACCUUCCCAUUGCACUUUGCAAAGGUAAACGUCAAUGUACUUAUCCCAUCUCUUCCUUUGUAUGUUAUGAUUACUUGUCUUCUUCAUCUCGUUGUUUUAUCAGUUCUCUAGGUACUUCUAUUCCUAAAACUGUUACUGAAGUAUUGUCUCAUCUUGGUUGGCGUGUUGCAAUGGAAGAGAAAAUGGUGGCUUUAGAUACUAAUGGUACUUGGGAAUUGAUGCAUUUGCCUCUGGAUAAGAAAGCUAUUGGAUGUGUUUUUACAGUCAAAGUGAAUCAUAAUGGUACUGUGGCUCGUCUCCUUGUUGGUAAAGGAUAUGCUCAGACUUAUGGAACUGAUUACUUCGACACUUUCUCUCCUGUUGCUAAACUAGCUUCUGUUCGCUUGUUUGUUUCCUUGGUAGAUAGAUAUAAUUGGCCUUCACAUCAGUUAGAUAUCAAAAAUACUUUCCUUUAUGAUGAUCUCCGGAAGGAAGUUUAUAUGAAGUAACCACCAAGUUUUGUUGCUCAGGGGGAGUUGGGCAAAGUUUGCAGGCUCCGAAAAUCCCUUUAUGGCCUGAAACAGAGUCUUCGAGCUUGAUUUGGCAGAUUCAGCAGUUUAGUAUAAAGAAGAGCAAGUCCGAUCAUUCGGUGUUUUAUAGACAU